GAUCCCUAGCUGGUCUGAGAGGAUGACCAGCCACACUGGAACUGAGACACGGUCCAGACUCCUACGGGAGGCAGCAGUGGGGAAUAUUGCACAAUGGGCGCAAGCCUGAUGCAGCCAUGCCGCGUGUAUGAAGAAGGCCUUCGGGUUGUAAAGUACUUUCAGCGAGGAGGAAGGCAUUAAGGUUAAUAACCUUAGUGAUUGACGUUACUCGCAGAAGAAGCACCGGCUAACUCCGUGCCAGCAGCCGCGGUAAUACGGAGGGUGCAAGCGUUAAUCGGAAUUACUGGGCGUAAAGCGCACGCAGGCGGUCUGUCAAGUCGGAUGUGAAAUCCCCGGGCUCAACCUGGGAACUGCAUCCGAAACUGGCAGGCUAGAGUCUUGUAGAGGGGGGUAGAAUUCCAGGUGUAGCGGUGA
Molecule: ribosomal RNA, 414 nt
Filed under: uncultured Pseudomonadota bacterium
Lineage: Bacteria; Pseudomonadati; Pseudomonadota
Description: bacterial SSU rRNA
Rfam family: Bacterial small subunit ribosomal RNA
Source: RNAcentral